GGUCCUGACUAAGCCAUACGAGUCCAUGGGGCGCGUUUGUGCGCACCCGGCGGAACGGGUCAGUAACACGUCGGUAACCUACCCUCGGGAGGGGGAUAACCCCGGGAAACUGGGGCUAAUCCCCCCAUAGGCCCUGGGGUACUGGAAGGUCCCCAGGCCGAAAGGGGCUCUGCCCGCCCGAGGAUGGGCCGGCGGCCGAUUAGGUAGUUGGUGGGGUAACGGCCCACCAAGCCGAAGAUCGGUACGGGCCAUGAGAGUGGGAGCCCGGAGAUGGACGCUGAGACACGGGUCCAGGCCCUACGGGGCGCAGCAGGCGCGAAACCUCCGCAAUGCGGGCAACCGCGACGGGGGGACCCCCAGUGCCGUGGCACAGCCACGGCUUUUCCGGAGUGUAAAAAGCUCCGGGAAUAAGGGCUGGGCAAGGCCGGUGGCAGCCGCCGCGGUAAUACCGGCGGCCCAAGUGGUGGCCGCUAUUAUUGGGCCUAAAGCGUCCGUAGCCGGGCCCGUAAGUCCCUGGCGAAAUCCCACGGCUCAACCGUGGGGCUUGCUGGGGAUACUGCGGGCCUUGGGACCGGGAGAGGCCGGGGGUACCCCUGGGGUAGGGGUGAAAUCCUAUAAUCCCAGGGGGACCGCCAGUGGCGAAGGCGCCCGGCUGGAACGGGUCCGACGGUGAGGGACGAAGGCCAGGGGAGCGAACCGGAUUAGAUACCCGGGUAGUCCUGGCUGUAAAGGAUGCGGGCUAGGUGUCGGGCGAGCUUCGAGCUCGCCCGGUGCCGGAGGGAAGCCGUUAAGCCCGCCGCCUGGGGAGUACGGCCGCAAGGCUGAAACUUAAAGGAAUUGGCGGGGGAGCAC
This 852-nucleotide ribosomal RNA is filed under the name archaeon enrichment culture clone BIG A_Brut_10. RNAcentral's name for it is "bacterial SSU rRNA". It matches the Rfam family "Archaeal small subunit ribosomal RNA", at positions 37 to 879 of the family's 1478-position model. The record is from RNAcentral.